CUCUCUUUUGUUUGGUGGGUUUUUCAUGUUUUUCUUUUCUAGCCAUAUGGUUUCCAUUCAUUAUGGAAAUAUAUGGGCCCCUAUCCUCGAGCCUGAUAUGGGAAUUUUCUUUAUCAAUUUUGUUUUCUUAGUUCCACUGCGAACCAAGCAAAUGUCUUUCCAAAUGUCUGUAUGUUUGUUAGUCAGUCCGUCUUGUAUUUGAUUGUCUAAUAAAAU
Non-coding RNA from Pelobates cultripes (western spadefoot toad), 216 nucleotides. The record is from the annotation of a GenBank genome assembly. NCBI's taxonomy places the organism in Eukaryota, Metazoa, Chordata, Amphibia, Anura, Pelobatidae.